AAUUGCUCCACAGUCUAAUCCAAUAAAAUUCAGGCAUUGGUAGUUUUUGAGGCCAGUCUUGGAGGUUUCCUCUAACCUCAAGAGGGCUCUUCUUAGUUGUCUCCUUCCCUGGUUCUCUCUGGUAAACUAGCUAGCUUAUGGUUUAGCUUGUUGCUUUUUAUUACAGGAAACUAUUGUUUUUUUUAGAGCAACCCGAGGCUUGACCAUCACCCACACUCUGUUUCAAAUAAAGGUUUUUGUGGAAGGUAUACUGCUCCCCUCAUUCCCCAACUGCCCUGCUUCAUUGCCACAUAACUAUUCAAUCUUCAGAUUUUACCUAUGUAUCCCUUUCUUCAGAAAGUCUUUCCUAAGCCAAUUAGUUUGGGUAUGAUGUCUUCCCUGGUACACUCUCUGAACCCUGAACUUCUAACUUCACAUUUAGUAUACUGUAUUGUAUUUGCCUACUUACUUGUGUCUCCCCCACAGGAUUGUGACUCCAGAUUAUGAACUGUGUCUAUCAUGUUUAUCAUUGUUUCUUCAGUACCUAUAGGUCAUUGGUAUUACCAGAUUCUGCAGGCUAAUUAAAUCUAUAGCCCAAAGAGUUAGAGACACCAAGAUUACAUAAAAACAUAGAAGUUCUAUGUGCUUAACUCAACAGACAUCAAUGUCUCUGUAUGUAUACACACACAGACACACAGACACAUAUAUUAAGUCAUAUAUACAUACAUAUAUAAAGUCAAUGUAAUGAAAUUUUUCUGUAUAUUUAUAACAUAAACGUAAAUGGAAAGUAUAGAUUUCUUUUACCUUUUAAGUUUUUAAAAUUUAGAAGGUAACCGAUACUUGGAACACUAGUCAUCAAACAAAACAUGACUAUUAGCCUGAUAAAUCAGAACAGCACUUUUGGAAAUAAUUUGGCAAUAUAUUUUAAGAAUUAGAAAUAUGGUUCAUACAGGCCAGGCACGGUG
RNAcentral lists this long non-coding RNA (944 nucleotides) under Homo sapiens (human). RNAcentral's name for it is "HSALNT0210851". The record is from RNAcentral. Lineage: Eukaryota; Metazoa; Chordata; Mammalia; Primates; Hominidae.